RNAcentral lists this ribosomal RNA (314 nucleotides) under Pseudoalteromonas sp. S983. RNAcentral describes it as "bacterial SSU rRNA". It matches the Rfam family "Bacterial small subunit ribosomal RNA", at positions 1 to 316 of the family's 1533-position model. The record is from RNAcentral. Lineage: Bacteria; Pseudomonadati; Pseudomonadota; Gammaproteobacteria; Alteromonadales; Pseudoalteromonadaceae.
UUAAUUGAAGAGUUUGAUCAUGGCUCAGAUUGAACGCUGGCGGCAGGCCUAACACAUGCAAGUCGAGCGGUAACAGAAAGUAGCUUGCUACUUUGCUGACGAGCGGCGGACGGGUGAGUAAUGCUUGGGAACAUGCCUUGAGGUGGGGGACAACAGUUGGAAACGACUGCUAAUACCGCAUAAUGUCUACGGACCAAAGGGGGCUUCGGCUCUCGCCUUUAGAUUGGCCCAAGUGGGAUUAGCUAGUUGGUGAGGUAAUGGCUCACCAAGGCAACGAUCCCUAGCUGGUUUGAGAGGAUGAUCAGCCACACUGG